Molecule: ribosomal RNA, 443 nt
Filed under: uncultured bacterium
Lineage: Bacteria
Description: partial 16S ribosomal RNA
Rfam family: Bacterial small subunit ribosomal RNA
Source: RNAcentral
CCUACGGGUGGCAGCAGUGGGGAAUAUUGGGCAAUGGAGGAAACUCUGACCCAGCAAAGCCGCGUGAAUGAUGAAGGUCUUCGGAUUGUUAAGUCCUUUUCUAAGGGAAGAAGAAAGUGACGGUACCUUAGGCAUAAGCCUCGGCUAACUACGGGCCAGCAGCCUCGGUAAUCCGUAGGAGGCAAGCGUUAUCCGGAAUGACUGGGCGUAAAGGGUGCGUAGGUGGUUUGACAAGUUGGUAGCGUAACUCCGGGGCUCAACCUCGGCACUACUACCAAAACUGUCGGACUUGAGUGCAGGAGAGGCAAAUGGAAUUCGUAGUGUAGCGGUGGAAUGCGUAGAUAUUAGGAGGAACACCAGUGGCGAAGGCGAUUUGCUGGACUGUAACUGACACUGAGGCACGAAAGCGUGGGGAGCGAACAGGAUUAGAUACCCGGGUAGUC